This 468-nucleotide ribosomal RNA is filed under the name uncultured bacterium. RNAcentral describes it as "partial 16S ribosomal RNA". It matches the Rfam family "Bacterial small subunit ribosomal RNA", at positions 28 to 507 of the family's 1533-position model. The record is from RNAcentral.
GACGAACGCUGGCGGCGUGCUUAACACAUGCAAGUCGAACGGAAAGGCCCUGCUUUUGUGGGGUGCUCGAGUGGCGAACGGGUGAGUAACACGUGAGUAACCUGCCCUUGACUUUGGGAUAACUUCAGGAAACUGGGGCUAAUACCGGAUAGGAGCUCCUGCUGCAUGGUGGGGGUUGGAAAGUUUCGGCGGUUGGGGAUGGACUCGCGGCUUAUCAGCUUGUUGGUGGGGUAGUGGCUUACCAAGGCUUUGACGGGUAGCCGGCCUGAGAGGGUGGCCGGCCACAUUGGGACUGCGAUACGGCCCAGACUCCUACGGGAGGCAGCAGUGGGGAAUAUUGCACAAUGGGAGGAAGCCUGAUGCAGCAACGCCGCGUGCGGGAUGACGGCCUUCGGGUUGUAAACCGCUUUCGCCUGUGACGAAGCGUGAGUGACGGUAAUGGGUAAAGAAGCACCGGCUAACUACGUG